This 505-nucleotide ribosomal RNA is filed under the name uncultured bacterium. RNAcentral describes it as "partial 16S ribosomal RNA". It matches the Rfam family "Bacterial small subunit ribosomal RNA", at positions 28 to 507 of the family's 1533-position model. The record is from RNAcentral.
GACGAACGCUGGCGGCGUGCCUAAUACAUGCAAGUAGAACGCACAGUUUAUACCGUAGCUUGCUACACCAUAGACUGUGAGUUGCGAACGGGUGAGUAACGCGUAGGUAACCUGCCUGGUAGCGGGGGAUAACUAUGGGAAACGAUAGCUAAUACCGCAUAAUAUUGAUUAUUGCAUGAUAAGUGAUUGAAAGAUGCUAUUGCAUCACUACCAGAUGGACCUGCGUUGUAUUAGCGAGUAGGGGAGGUAACGGCUCAACUAGGCGACGAUACAUAGCCGACCUGGGAGGGGGAUCGGCCACCCUGGGACUGAGACCCGGCCCAGACUCCUACGGGAGGCAGCAGUAGGGAAUCUUCGGCAAUGGACGAAAGUCUGACCGAGCAACGCCGCGUGAGUGAAGAAGGUUUUCGGAUCGUAAAGCUCUGUUGUAAGAGAAGAACGGGUGUGAGAGUGGAAAGUUCACACUGUGACGGUAUCUUACCAGAAAGGGACGGCUAACUACGUG